AUUGAACGCUGGCGGCAUGCCUUACACAUGCAAGUCGAACGGUAGCGGGCCUUCGGGUGCCGACGAGUGGCGAACGGGUGAGUAAUGUAUCGGAACGUACCUUUCAGUGGGGGAUAACGUAGCGAAAGUUACGCUAAUACCGCAUAUUCUGUGAGCAGGAAAGCAGGGGAUCGCAAGACCUUGCGCUGAUUGAGCGGCCGAUAUCAGAUUAGCUAGUUGGUGAGGUAAAGGCUCACCAAGGCGACGAUCUGUAGUGGGUCUGAGAGGAUGAUCCGCCACGCUGGAACUGAGACACGGUCCAGACUCCUACGGGAGGCAGCAGUGGGGAAUUUUGGACAAUGGGGGCAACCCUGAUCCAGCCAUGCCGCGUGAGUGAAGAAGGCCUUCGGGUUGUAAAGCUCUUUCGGCCGGGAAGAAAUCGUAUGGGUUAAUACCCUGUGCGGAUGACGGUACCGGCAUAAGAAGCACCGGCUAACUACGUGCCAGCAGCCGCGGUAAUACGUAGGGUGCGAGCGUUAAUCGGAAUUACUGGGCGUAAAGCGUGCGCAGGCGGUUUUGUAAGACAGGCGUGAAAUCCCCGGGCUCAACCUGGGAACUGCGCUUGUGACUGCAAGGCUAGAGUACGGCAGAGGGGGGUGGAAUUCCACGUGUAGCAGUGAAAUGCGUAGAGAUGUGGAGGAACACCAAUGGCGAAGGCAGCCCCCUGGGUCGAUACUGACGCUCAUGCACGAAAGCGUGGGUAGCAAACAGGA
Molecule: ribosomal RNA, 752 nt
Filed under: uncultured bacterium
Lineage: Bacteria
Description: bacterial SSU rRNA
Rfam family: Bacterial small subunit ribosomal RNA
Source: RNAcentral